AGUUAUAUAUUCAAGAAUGAUAUUAAAUUGCAAAUUUAAAGGUAAAUUUAUAAUUUUAUAGCUU
Molecule: transfer RNA, 64 nt
Filed under: Monotomidae sp. KM-2017
Lineage: Eukaryota; Metazoa; Arthropoda; Insecta; Coleoptera; Monotomidae
Description: tRNA-Cys
Source: RNAcentral